UUUCAUCGAUCCAUCGCGGCCGGCAGCCAUGUCUCCGAUGAGGCCGCGCUCCUCCAGCGCGAGCUCGACGUCGCCGGUGGCGGGGAAGAAGGAGAAGACGGCGACGAAGCCAGCUGGUGGUGGUGCUCGCGAUCCGCCCAAGGGAAGGUCGUCGUCGUUCGCGUGCAGGGUGUGCGGCAAGAGGUUCCCGUCGCAGCAAGCCAUGGCCGGCCACGAGGAUCACUGCCGCCGCCACGAGGAUCACGUCCGCGAGGCAGCUGCUGCCACCGCCGCCGCAGUCGUCGUUGUCGCCACCGCCACCGCUUCCGGUGGUUGCUCUAACCGUGCAACUUGCGGUGCUCUUCUGGCGUCUUACACCUGUGCGACUCAGCUUCUUGCCGCUGCCGCCGUCGCAGAUUGGUCACAGGUGGCCGCCGGGAUCCCUCUUUCCAAAGAGCAGCUUGUUGUCGCCGUCGCCAUCGUCCUCGCCGACGACGGGUGAGCCGGCGAGUGCCACGGUUGAUGUGACGCUCCGGCUGGGCUCCGGUGGCAAGCGCGGGAACGAGAAGCCUCUGGUCGAGUCACUGAUGGUGCCGGCGGCAAGCCUACACGGUCACCGAGGAGAGCAGGGUCGCGAAGGCACGAGGGCGAGGGGGAUGGACGGCUGUGAUCAUGGUAGGAAGAAGGGGAAAGCCCAGAUGGACGGAUUGGAUCUAGAGCUGCAUCUUCACCGCUAGUUUAGUAAAGGGUUUAUUACCGGGAGCAGAUUACAAAAUUAGGGAUUUGUUAGACAGCUGCCUGCUGUUUUUUUUUUUUUUGCGCUUUUGUCAGCUGGAUUUGUGGCCAUGGGAUUUUUCUUCAAGAUUUGUGCACAAGCCAGCCCAAGGCGUGUCCUCCCUUCAGCCACAAACGAGCCCAAGCUACAGUUCAAAAACAUAAAUCCUCAUCUUCCAAUUUCUCCUGCAUGAAUGGGAGGAAAGCAAGAGAAGCUGUCGGUGAGAGAGAGAUCGAGAGAGGAUGCGGCGAAGCAAGAAGCAGCGACCUCGAUGUUGUCGGCGUCUUCUCCGCCGGUUGGAGCUCCUGGUUGUGGGCUUGUGGCGCAGCCAGGGCCAGGCAGCAGAGGUGUUUCUGUUGGAUCUCGCCGCUGAAGAGUUGAAUCUUGGACCAUCAAUGAACAACGAGGCCACAUCGAUCCCCAAGGUGAGUAUUCCCCAUGGAGAUUUAUGCGUUGAAAUUUAUCACAUCUGUUCAUGUGGGGGCUGCCGGAUUAAUGAAAAAUCCAUUAAGCAAAUAUGUUUGUGACUCACUAAAUUACACAAUGAUGAACAUUAACAUGUGUGUUUAUUGAACUACCGAAAAACGAUACGUGCCCCGGAAGGAACUACGAGCUUCCAUCUUCUGUACACAUCGGAGGGACCAUUUGGCUGGAUCCUACGAACCGUGCAAACCCUCCCUGCCAUUCACUGGUGGUAGUUGUAUGCGGAAUAGAAGGGAUCACUCUGUACUACCUGCAAUAAUCUCUAUAGGUAAACAUUGAAUUCAAAAAUAGCACCAGUUGAUCCAUGCCAGCAAAAAAAAAGGACCAUAUGAUGGGGAAAAAUAAUCAAGCUUGGUUUUUCUGGAGCUUUUCAACUCCUGCCUCACAUGUACGAGAGAGCAAAGAAAAAAAAUGCAUAGGGAAUAGAACUUGCAAUAGAACUACAGAAAUAAAAGGCUUUCCAAGCAAUCCAUGGUCCCACACAGCGCAUGACUGUAGAAAGGUUUGCAAAGUUCAGAAAAUAAAUGGUAAAAUGACCACCUAAUUUUGGUAUAUUCUGAAAAUUAGUCCAUAAAAAUAGUGUGUAUUGUACUUUUAAGUCCCUAGAUUAAAUUAGCAUGGGGUGGAACAAUUAAUUCUAUAAGUUAUGCCACUUGUACGUAAAAAAACUGUGCAUGAAAAAGAGCUAAAUUUUAGGACGAUUUUCAUAAUAAUGUGUAAAGCUUUUGGUUUAAUUUAGAGAAAGGUUACCAUAACUAUAAUGAUUUAAAAUAAUUCGUGCACCUAAUAUAAUUAAUAUGUUUUCAUAUACAUAGCUUGUAACAGGUUGAUUAGAGUCGUGUGAAUGCUAUACUAUAUACAAUAGUACUAGAGAAGUUAACAAGUCAUCCAUACAAAAAUAUUUUGUGAAACAGUUUCUACCGGUACCGAUGUAAACCCUUGAUGCCACUGUGAUCCUCCUUUUGUUGUUGGUAUAGGCCUAACCAACUGCAUGCUAACAAGUUAACAAGUAGUAUGCUCGAAAACUAUUUGUAUCAUAAUAGGCUUUACCUGCAUUGUCCGGUCAGUUUAUCGUAGACGGUGCCACAGGCCUUGCCGACGACCUAGGACGUGUGGAAGCUGAGGGUCUUGCCUAUGUCGAAGGCCUAGAAGAGGUAGAAGAGGUAGACGGUUGUUCCAGUAGGGGGUCCGCAAACCUGUGUCCUGUGGGACGGUGGACUUCUGAUGCACGCCUGCACGAUGCCCCCCGCAUAAUACGUUUGCAUUUCUGUCGCAUUCGGUCCAGAGCAGACAUCAUCUCCUCAAGGGACCCAGCUAUAUUGUCACGCAGCUUCUCCCACAGUGAGGUUGUGUCAGAAUAUAGUUCCUCCGCAAUAUCGCCCUACGAAAAUAAAUGUUACAAUGAUUACAGGUUGCGGUAAGAUUAUUGUUUCAUUAAAAAUUUAGUGGAUAAUAUGUUACCGUCAGGUGGGUAACUGGCGCUGACUGCAUAGGGUACAGCGUGUCCACGUCGGCUAUUUCAGGAAUAUAUGGAUCCUCUAUUGUCACAAGGCAUACGCGUGUUUAUGCGAUGUACCACCGCAUGUACAACGCGUACAUACGACGGUCGUACGGUCUGGAUUCGUUAAUAUAUCGAAUGUUGCCCUCGAACAUUGUUCGACCCAAGGGGUCAUCUUACCAACGAUAUUUCGCCACACGCUAGCAUCUCCCUUCCUCUUUUCUAACAAAAAAACUCAUCAUUAGGUGUUGAGUUAAGUAGUAUAAUUCGGACACACGGUAAUUAAUGGGAAUCCAAUUGAAUUUAACUUAUAAGUGUAUUUUUUUGGAGGGGGGGACUGUUUCACCAAGCAGGAGAGGCACUUCUUGGUAAAGGCUGAAUUGCCUCAUUACACGCUGUAGAUUGUACGCCUCAACGGCUAUAUCGUAGACAAGCAUCUUUUUCAUCAGCCAGUAAGACGAGUCACGCAAGUAGAGUAUACUGAGGUCGGCAGGGGCACGACGUUGUGUCUCCUCUUCCGUGUAUGGACACCACUGAACGUAUCCUCCUUAAGUAGAUCGAACGCCUCAGUGAAGUACUCGUACACGCUUCGAGCCUGAACGUUCGUCCACUGUGGUUGCAUGUUAUUAAAUAAAUAGUAAGAUUAUAGCUGUACGAACUAAAUGCAAAUGUACAAAAAAAAAUUUCUACGUACCGGUCCCUAGCACCAACGCAUGCCAUAAGUAGGCCUAUCAUCUGUAGUGUUACCAAAUAAGCUAGAAUAUGCCACAGUUCCAGGCACGUAUGGUCGUCCCAAUGGGAAGCGUUCUUAAGACCAUAGCAUGAACAACAACGGACAACCAGUAAACAUAGGUUGCUUAAAGCUUGUCUUUGUGCAUGCUUCACAUAGAUCUCGGUAAGUUGUAGCCAAAACUGCUGAUCCCCAACUCCACUAGGGAAAACUUUCUAUGUUGCCCUGCACAAUAAAUCUUGCUAUGGAAAUCAUUCUCGCAUCCACUAUGUAUCCGUGUCCACUUGUGAACAUAACCCAUCCAAAAAGCCAUAGAAGGUAAGCCUCCAAAUGCAAUUCCACAUGGUAAUUUUCUACGUCCUCUCUCGUGAAAGAAACCUACAAAGGUACACAGAAAAUUUCAAUAACAAAACAUAAUAUCAUCAAUGGAAGUUUUUUGUAUGAAUUAGUUUUUCCUCGAACUGGAUGAGCCAGUGUAACGUAGGGCCGCGCGCUUCAUCUUUAUAGAAAAGUCCUUUCAUGUCUCUAUCAUCCUCUGGAACAAUGUAAGCAUAUCUUCCAAUAAUAUCAUCCCUCCAUUCCACAGGUGGGUCGGGGAGGACAAUUGUCUGUCCUGCAAGUGGUAGCCCUAUAAGCAUGGAUACAUCUCGCAGUGUAAUUGCCAUCUCUCCACACGGGAGGUGGAAAGUGUGAGUCUCCGGCCUCCAUCUGUCGACCAAUGCAGUUAGAAGUCCCUUGUGUAUAAUCUAUCGGCGUGUGUCUCUAGAUGACACAUCUUCAUCUUCCUCGUCAGUGUCUUCCCUUUUAUUUGCUUUCCGUCGGCGUGCACUUUGUUGUCUUGCUACCAUGUAAUCGUAAUGCCCUCUAGCCUGCAACAUCCUAACAAAAAGAAGAAUGCCUGCAACAAGACAUCCUUGCAUAACGAGUUGUUGCGUCAGACAAAAUUUACAAUAAUUGCAGCAAAAAAAUUAACAAAAAUUCAUGUAAGUGUGUAAAAAAAUUAGUUACCUUGGUAACCAACGUUCGUCGACUCCCCACAUUGGGAAAGUCCGCGUUAUGAAGACCGACAUACCACUUGGACGACUGGAAGACAUUAGCCAUGCAUGGUGCCAUGCAUCGAUGUCUCUACUGAGUAACGGGUAGGAUUCUGGAAGACAUCAGCCAUGCACGGUGCACGGCAUCGAUGCACGGCACCGUGCACGGCUGAUGUCUUCCAGCUGUCCAAGUGGUAUGUCCAAGUGGUACAUCGCACAAACACAUGUACGUCUUGUGACAAUAGAGGAUCCAGAUAUUCCUGAAAUAGCCAACGUGGACACGCUGUACCCUAUGCAGUCAGCGCCAGUUACCCACCUGACGGGCGAUAUUGUGGAGGAACUAUAUUCUGACACAACCUCACUGUGGGAGAAGCUGCGUGACAAUAUAGCUGGGUCCCUCGAGGAGAUGAUGUCUGCUCUAGACCGAAUGCGACAGAAAUGCAAACGUAUUAUGCGGGGGCAUAGUACAGGCAUGCAUCAGAAGUCCACCGUCCCACAGGACACAGGUUUGCGGACCCCCUACCGGAACAACCGUCUACCUCUUCUAGGCCUUCCACAUCGGCAAGACCCUCAGCUUCCACACGUCCUGGACGUCGGCAAGGCCUGUGGCACCGUCUACGAUAAACCGAUCGGACAAUGCAGGUAAAGCCUAUUAUGAUACAAAUAGUUUUCGAGCAUACUACUUGUUAACUUGUUAGCACGCAAGUGGUUAGGCCUAUACCAACAAUAACAGGAGGAUCACAGUGGCAUCAAGGGUUCACAUCGGUACCGGGUAGAAACUGUUUCACAAAAUAUUUUUGCAUGGAUGACUUGUUAACUUCUCAUCUAGUACAACUGUAUAUAGUCUAGCAUUCACACUACUUUAAUCAACAUGUUACAAGCUAUGUAUAUGAAAAUAUAUGAAUUAUAUUAGAUGCACGAAUUGUUUUUAAUCAUUAUACUUAUGGUAACCUUUCUCUAAAUUAAACCAAAAGCUCUACGCAUUAUUAUGAAAAUCGUCCUAAAAUUUAGCUCAUUUCAUGCACAGUUUUUUUAAGUACAAGUGGCCUAACUUAUAGAAUUAAUUGUUCCGCCUAAUGCUAAUUUAAUCUAUGGACUUAAAAGUACAAUACACACUAUUUUUAUGGACUAAUUUUCAGAAUAUACUGAAAUUAGGUGGUCGUUUUACCAUACCAUUUAUUUUCUGAACUUUGCAAACCUUUCUACAGCCAUGCGCUGUGUGGGACAAUGGAUUGCUUGGAAAGCCUUUUAUUUCUAUAGUUCUAUUGCAAGUUCUAUUCCCUAUGCAUUUUUUUUCUUUGCUCUCUCAUAUAUGUGAGGCAGGAGUUGAAAAGCUCUAGAAAAACCAAGCUUAAUUAUUUGUUGUCCAUUAGAUGGUCCUAUUUUUUUUUCCGACAUGGAUCAACUGGUGCUAUUUUUAAAUUCAAUGUUCACCUAUAGAGAUUAUUGCAGGUAGUAUAGCAGUGAUCCCUUCUAUUCUGCGUGUAAGUACCUCCAGUGAAUGGCAGGGAGGGUUUGUGUGGUUCGCAGGAUCCAGCCAAAUGGUCCCUCUGAUGUGUACAGAAGAUGGAAGCUUACAGUUCUUUCCAGGGCACGUAGCGUUUUCCGGUAGUUCAAUAAACACGCAUGUUAAUGUUCAUCAUUUUGUAAUUUAGUUAGUCACAAACAUAUUUGCUUAAUUUUGCAGGUGUACCUUAAGUUAACAUGCUCAUGUUUCCAACGGGUAUGAACGAUCAGUGGUAUGGAGCUUCCACAUACAACACUGGGGAUCUACCAAAUGUCCAUAACUGAAAAUGUACAACCACAAGGACCAAGCUUUUUGGACAUGUUAGGCCAAGGAGAUUGGUUGUUCAGUCAAUCACCUAUCAUGCAACCACAAACAACAUGAAUGUACACUGCCGACCAAAUGAUAGGAUAUGCCGACAGCACACAGUCCUACAGAGAACCAUGUAGCUACGGUGGGGGUCGUCAACAGCACUACACGAGAUAGGACCGUCGCAUAUUGAUGAACCACCUCCAAUAACUCAGCUGACCCAAGACUACGGGCAUGUUGAUUUCAGCGGUGUUAAGGUGGCACAUAGGUCUGUCCGCGAGUGACAUUCACCUGAAAGAUUAUCUUUGUCAAGACGCAGACCUCCAGCUAGUGCUAGAAGAAAGGGAAAGAAAAAGGACACUAGCACAUCACGAAAUUUUGAUGAUGAGGCUAAUGAGUGGAACGAUUUUAUAUUUUGCUCUUUCGAACUAAUAUGUAAUGUUGUGUGUUCAAACUUUCUAAUGUGUCAGCUACAUUUCUAAAGAAAUAAAUUCGAAAUAUUUACCCGCUUUCCCUUCA
This is a non-coding RNA of Oryza sativa Japonica Group (Japanese rice), 6831 nucleotides long. The record is from RefSeq and is a predicted model, not a curated record. NCBI's taxonomy places the organism in Eukaryota, Viridiplantae, Streptophyta, Magnoliopsida, Poales, Poaceae.